AGUGAACGCUGGCGGUAGGCCUAACACAUGCAAGUCGAACGGCAGCACAGUAAGAGCUUGCUCUUACGGGUGGCGAGUGGAGGACGGGUGAGGAAUACAUCGGAAUCUACUUUUUCGUGGGGGAUAACGUAGGGAAACUUACGCUAAUACAGCAUACGACCUACGGGUGAAAGCAGGGGAUCUUCUGACCUUGCGCGAUUGAAUGCGCCGAUGUCGGAUUUGCUAGUUGGGGGGGGAAAGGCCCACCAAGUCGACGAUCCGUAGCUGGUCUGGGUGGAUGGUAGGCCACACUGGAAGUGAGACACCCUCCAGACUCCUACGGGAGGGAGCAGUGGGGAAUAUUGGACAGUGGGCGCAAGCUUUAUACAGCCGUACGGCGUGGGUGGAGACGGCGUUCGGGUUGUAAAGCCCUUUUGUUGGGAAAGAACAGCAGCAGGUUAAUACGCCGCUGUUCUGACGGUACCCAGAGAAUAAGCACCGGCUAACUUCGUG
RNAcentral lists this ribosomal RNA (492 nucleotides) under uncultured bacterium. RNAcentral describes it as "partial 16S ribosomal RNA". It matches the Rfam family "Bacterial small subunit ribosomal RNA", at positions 29 to 507 of the family's 1533-position model. The record is from RNAcentral.